UCUUUGCUUAAUUUGCCAAUCUUUUUUUUCACUGCUGAGGAGGAAAUCGCAGCGGCGAAUUCUCGAACUAAUAAACUUGAAAGGACAAAAGUUUUUCCUUGAAGAAAAUCUCCACAGCUGUCAAGACUGCCCACUACUCCCAACUCCAGCUGCCAACUGGUCCUCCUGUACUGGACUGCACAAGAGAUUUACAAAGAUGGCACAGACAAAGAACACAGGGAAUCCAUCCUGAACCUGCC
This is a long non-coding RNA of Nematolebias whitei (Rio pearlfish), 239 nucleotides long. RefSeq lists it as uncharacterized. The record is from RefSeq and is a predicted model, not a curated record. NCBI's taxonomy places the organism in Eukaryota, Metazoa, Chordata, Actinopteri, Cyprinodontiformes, Rivulidae. The transcript is spliced from 3 exons.